This 433-nucleotide ribosomal RNA is filed under the name uncultured bacterium. Its description in RNAcentral is "partial 16S ribosomal RNA". It matches the Rfam family "Bacterial small subunit ribosomal RNA", at positions 29 to 507 of the family's 1533-position model. The record is from RNAcentral.
AGCGAACGCUGGCGGCAGGCCUAACACAUGCCAGUCGAACGAACUCUUCGGAGUUAGUGGCGGACGGGUGAGUAACACGUGGGAACGUGCCUUUUGGUUCGGAAUAACUCAGGGAAACUUGUGCUAAUACCGAAUGUGCCCUUCGGGGGAAAGAUUUAUCGCCAUUUGAGCGGCCCGCGUCUGAUUAGCUAGUUGGUGAGGUAACGGCUCACCAAGGCGACGAUCAGUAGCUGGUCUGAGAGGAUGACCAGCCACACUGGGACUGAGACACGGCCCAGACUCCUACGGGAGGCAGCAGUGGGGAAUCUUGCGCAAUGGGCGAAAGCCUGACGCAGCCAUGCCGCGUGAAUGAUGAAGGUCUUAGGAUUGUAAAAUUCUUUCACCGGGGACGAUAAUGACGGUACCUGGAGAAGAAGCCCCGGCUAACUUCGUG